This 450-nucleotide ribosomal RNA is filed under the name uncultured bacterium. RNAcentral describes it as "partial 16S ribosomal RNA". It matches the Rfam family "Bacterial small subunit ribosomal RNA", at positions 338 to 795 of the family's 1533-position model. The record is from RNAcentral.
CCUACGGGUGGCUGCAGUGGGGAAUUUUGGACAAUGGGGGCAACCCUGAUCCAGCCAUGCCGCGUGCGGGAAGAAGGCCUUCGGGUUGUAAACCGCUUUUGUCAGGGAAGAAAUCUUCCGAGCUAAUACCUUGGGAGGAUGACGGUACCUGAAGAAUAAGCACCGGCUAACUACGUGCCAGCAGCCGCGGUAAUACGUAGGGUGAAGACGUGGAUCGGAAUUACUGGGGGUAAAUGUGGCAGAGGCGGUUGAAAUCCCCGGGCUUAACCUGGGAACUGCACUUGUGACUGUACGGCUGGAGUACGGCAGAGGGGGAUGGAAUUCCGCGUGUAGCAGUGAAAUGCGUAGAUAUGCGGAGGAACACCGAUGGCGAAGGCAGUCCCCUGGGCCUGUACUGACGCUCAUGCACGAAAGCGUGGGGAGCAAACAGGAUUAGAUACCCCUGUAGUC